RNAcentral lists this long non-coding RNA (870 nucleotides) under Astyanax mexicanus (Mexican tetra). RNAcentral describes it as "lncRNA (ENSAMXG00005020753.1)". The record is from RNAcentral. Lineage: Eukaryota; Metazoa; Chordata; Actinopteri; Characiformes; Acestrorhamphidae.
GCUUUGUGAAGAGGACACAGUCAGGCACGACCUGAAAGUCUGUACAAGUGGAAUAAAAAGUAGAAAACAUUGUUUAAAAACUUGUUUUCAGUUGAAUCGGCUUGAGCUGAAGCUUUAUUUGAUUAGUAAAAUGCAUCGUAGCGUAUUAACGAUGUUUGAAGAUCUGCAACGCGGGUUUCUAUUAUAGUUUUGGAGGAUUUAAAGCUUCCAUAGACUGCCUAUGAAAUUCACCACGACCAGGAUCUUAUAGUUUACAUUUUUUCAGUAAGUUAGGAGCAACAGGUAGCCUACUUUUGGUUGAUUUGGCUGUUUUAGUUUGAUUGUCAGUUUAUCACACAAACAUCUGAAUAACCACUGACUCACGGCAAUGUUCCAGCGUUUGUUUGGAAAAAAACGCGGAUUUACAACCUAAUUAGGCGAAAGCAGAAUCUUUAUUUGCAAUACCAUCACAUGGAUAUACGGUGCGGUUGAGGGUCAUUGUAUCCAGAUCCUACCUGGAAUCCUUGGGCAGAAGGCCAGAAGACCCCCUGGAUGUAGCUUUAUUUGCCUUAAACACUGUUAAGCAUAACCUUCCACCAUCAUCAUCAUCAUCAUCAUCAUCAUCAUUUCUCCUGUCUGCUAACUAAACAAUGUAUUAUGUAUAUGUAUUAGAGCUUUCAACAUUAAAGCAUUAACACACUGAUUCAUUUUGAAUCACUAGCAUGUUAUUAUUUUUUUAAAUGUAAGUUUAUUGCGUCCAAGUUUGACACCAAAUCCCGUGGUAAUCUGCCCUGCCCAACACAUGGAUUUUCUUGUGGCUAAAUGACACAAAAAGACAGAGCAUUUAUUUGCAGAAAAUGAGAAAUGGUUAAAAUAACAAAAAAAGAUGCA